RNAcentral lists this transfer RNA (86 nucleotides) under Dinghuibacter silviterrae. It matches the Rfam family "tRNA". Rfam says of the family: Transfer RNA (tRNA) molecules are approximately 80 nucleotides in length. Their secondary structure includes four short double-helical elements and three loops (D, anti-codon, and T loops). Further hydrogen bonds mediate the characteristic L-shaped molecular structure. tRNAs have two regions of fundamental functional importance: the anti-codon, which is responsible for specific mRNA codon recognition, and the 3' end, to which the tRNAs corresponding amino acid is attached (by aminoacyl-tRNA synthetases). tRNAs cope with the degeneracy of the genetic code in two manners: having more than one tRNA (with a specific anti-codon) for a particular amino acid; and 'wobble' base-pairing, i.e. permitting non-standard base-pairing at the 3rd anti-codon position. The record is from Rfam by way of RNAcentral. Lineage: Bacteria; Pseudomonadati; Bacteroidota; Chitinophagia; Chitinophagales; Chitinophagaceae.
GCCCUGAUGGUGGAACUGGUAGACACGCAAGACUUAAAAUCUUGUUCGCCGCAAGGCGAGUGCGGGUUCAACUCCCGCUUGGGGCA